This 107-nucleotide small nuclear RNA is filed under the name Propithecus coquereli (Coquerel's sifaka). Lineage: Eukaryota; Metazoa; Chordata; Mammalia; Primates; Indriidae. The record is from RNAcentral.
GUACUCACUUUGUCAGCACAUAUGCUAAAAUUGGAAUGAUAUAGAGAGAAUAAGCAUGGCCCCUGUACAAGGAUGACACACAAAUUGGUGGAGUGUUCCAUAGUUCU